AGAUUGAACGCUGGCGGCAGGCCUAACACAUGCAAGUCGAGCGGCAGCACGGGUACUUGUACCUGGUGGCGAGCGGCGGACGGGUGAGUAAUGCCUAGGAAUCUGCCUGGUAAUGGGGGAUAACGCUCGGAAACGGACGCUAAUACCGCAUACGUCCUACGGGAGAAAGCAGGGGACCUUCGGGCCUUGCGCUAUCAGAUGAGCCUAGGUCGGAUUAGCUAGUUGGUGGGUAAUGGCUCACCAAGGCGACGAUCCGUAACUCGGUCUGGAGAGGAUGAUCAGUCACGACUACGGAACUGAGAACGACGGUACCGAGACUCCGUACGGGACGGCAGGC
Molecule: ribosomal RNA, 337 nt
Filed under: uncultured soil bacterium
Lineage: Bacteria
Description: bacterial SSU rRNA
Rfam family: Bacterial small subunit ribosomal RNA
Source: RNAcentral